This 273-nucleotide small nuclear RNA is filed under the name Fukomys damarensis (Damara mole-rat). Its description in RNAcentral is "7SK RNA". It matches the Rfam family "7SK RNA". Rfam says of the family: 7SK was discovered as an abundant small nuclear RNA in the mid-70s but a possible function has only recently been suggested. Two independent studies have found that 7SK RNA binds the CDK9/cyclin T complex (known as elongation factor P-TEFb). The record is from Rfam by way of RNAcentral. Lineage: Eukaryota; Metazoa; Chordata; Mammalia; Rodentia; Bathyergidae.
GGAUGUGAGGGCUAUCUGGCUGCAGCAUCUGUCACCCCAUUGAUCCUGCUGGCUAGGCGGGUGUCCCCUUCCUCCCUCACAGCUCCAUGUGCGUCCCUCCCGAAGCUGCACACUGGGUCCAAGAGAUGACCACCCCCGAUAGAGAGGGACAAAAGGGUAUCUGAGUAGUUGCACUCGCCUGCUGGAAUCUCCAAACAAGCUCUCAAAUUAAAAAAAUAAAAUAAAUAAGAGGUAGAUAGAUCCAGAAUGUCUGGCCCAUACCUAUAGUCCUAG